RNAcentral lists this ribosomal RNA (253 nucleotides) under uncultured bacterium. Its description in RNAcentral is "partial 16S ribosomal RNA". It matches the Rfam family "Bacterial small subunit ribosomal RNA", at positions 524 to 776 of the family's 1533-position model. The record is from RNAcentral.
UACAGAGGUCUCAAGCGUUGUUCGGAUUCAUUGGGCGUAAAGGGUGCGUAGGCGGCGCGGUAAGUCGGGUGUGAAAUCUCGGGGCUUAACUCCGAAACUGCAUUCGAUACUGCCGUGCUUGAGGACUGGAGAGGAGACUGGAAUUUACGGUGUAGCGGUGAAAUGCGUAGAUAUCAUGAGGAAGACCAGUGGCGAAGGCGGGUCUCUGGACAGUUCCUGACACUGAGACACGAAGGCCAGGGGAGCAAACGGG